This 661-nucleotide ribosomal RNA is filed under the name uncultured bacterium. Its description in RNAcentral is "bacterial SSU rRNA". It matches the Rfam family "Bacterial small subunit ribosomal RNA", at positions 11 to 650 of the family's 1533-position model. The record is from RNAcentral.
GUUUGAUCAUGGCUCAGGACGAACGCUGGCGGCGUGCUUAACACAUGCAAGUCGAACGGAGAACUUAUUUCGGUAAGUUCUUAGUGGCGAACGGGUGAGUAACGCGUGGGCAACCUGCCCUCCAGUUGGGGACAACAUUCCGAAAGGGAUGCUAAUACCGAAUGUGCUCCCUCCUCCGCAUGGAGGAGGGAGGAAAGAUGGCCUCUGCUUGCAAGCUAUCGCUGGAAGAUGGGCCCGCGUCUGAUUAGCUAGUUGGUGGGGUAACGGCUCACCAAGGCGAUGAUCAGUAGCCGGUCUGAGAGGAUGAACGGCCACAUUGGGACUGAGACACGGCCCAAACUCCUACGGGAGGCAGCAAUGGGGAAUCUUCCGCAAUGGACGAAAGUCUGACGGAGCAACGCCGCGUGAGUGAUGAAGGUCUUCGGAUUGUAAAACUCUGUUGUUAGGGACGAAAGCACCGUGUUCGAACAGGUCAUGGUGUUGACGGUACCUAACGAGGAAGCCACGGCUAACUACGUGCCAGCAGCCGCGGUAAUACGUAGGUGGCAAGCGUUGUCCGGAAUUAUUGGGCGUAAAGAGCAUGUAGGCAGGCUUUUAAGUCUGACGUGAAAAUGCGGGGCUUAACCCCGUAUGGCGUUGGAUACUGGAAGUCUGAGUGCAG